UCCCUGAUAGCUCAGCAGGUAAAGAAUCUGCCUAUAAUGCAGGAGACCCUGGUUCGAUCCCUGGGUUGGGAA
This 72-nucleotide transfer RNA is filed under the name Ovis aries (sheep). It matches the Rfam family "tRNA". Rfam says of the family: Transfer RNA (tRNA) molecules are approximately 80 nucleotides in length. The record is from Rfam by way of RNAcentral. Lineage: Eukaryota; Metazoa; Chordata; Mammalia; Artiodactyla; Bovidae.